RNAcentral lists this ribosomal RNA (383 nucleotides) under uncultured eukaryote. RNAcentral describes it as "partial 18S ribosomal RNA". It matches the Rfam family "Eukaryotic small subunit ribosomal RNA", at positions 592 to 976 of the family's 1831-position model. The record is from RNAcentral.
CAAUAGCGUAUAUUAAAGUUGUUGCAGUUAAAAAGCUCGUAGUUGGAUUUCUGGUAGGAGCGACCGUGCCGAACUUGAUUGUUCGAGUAUUGUGUUGUCUUCAGCCAUCCUCGUGGAGAACUUUUCUAACAUUAACUUGUUGGGAUUGGGACCCGCGUCGUUUACUGUGAAAAAAUUAGAGUGUUUAAAGCAGGCACUAGCUUGAAUACAUUAGCAUGGAAUAAUAAGAUAGGACUUUGGUACUAUUUUGUUGGUUUGCAUACCAAAUUAAUGAUCAACAGGAACAGUUUGAGGAUAUUCGUAUGAACAUGUCAGAGGUGAAAUUCUUGGAUUUUGAUCAGACGAACUACUGCGAAAGCAUUUAUCAAGGAUGUUUUCAUUAA